AAGCGUGUGCCAUGGAAGCAUGGCGGCAUUGCCUACUUUACAUCAGCCGCAACCCAUCCCCGCGUGCGCGACGAGCCGACGACGACAGAGGGCGAGAUCAUCAGGAGAAGGAGACCAGCCGGUGGUGCUCUGGGCGCUCCUACUCCUCGUCCUCCUCCCUCUCCCUGGGCACGGCCCCGAACCGCUCCACCAGGAGGUCGGCGACGAUGGGCACCAGGUCCUCGCACGGCACGGCCUUCUUGUACACCCCGGUGAGGUGCGAGUCGCUGCCGAUGCGGCCGCCGACGAAGAUGUCCGCCGCCUCGACGAUCUUGCCGCUGCUGUUCUUGGUGAGGCAGCCCAUGAAGCCGAUGUCGGCCACCUGCACCUGCGCGCAGCUGUUGGGGCACCCCGUCCAGUGCAUGCGCACCGCCUUGGGCACGGACACGCGCGCCUCCACGUCGCGCGUCACCUGCAGCGCCCGCGCCUUGGUCUCGAUGAUGGCCUGCCCGCAGAACUGGUUGCCCGUGCACGCCACCAGCCCCUUCAUCAGCAGCGACGGGUGCGCCGAGAACUUGUGCAGCAGCGGCUCCGCCAGAAGGGCGUCCACCUUCUCGUUCUUCACGUUGGGGAGCACGAUGUUCUGCUCCACGGUGAGGCGGAGCUCGCCGGAGCCGUACUCGUCGGCGAGGCGGGCCAGCUCGAACAUGUCCGCGGCCUGCAGCCGGCCGACGGGCACGUGAAGGCCGACGAAGGAGAGCCCUUCCUGCUUCUGCGGGUGCACGCCGAGGUAGUCGCGCCUCUCCCACUUCUUGUCGAUCAGGUCCUCCGGCGCCGCGCGCUCCAGCACGCCGUUGGGCAUCCUCUUCUCGAUCUCCG
This 858-nucleotide long non-coding RNA is filed under the name Hordeum vulgare. RNAcentral describes it as "long non-coding RNA (HVUL_LNC016864)". Lineage: Eukaryota; Viridiplantae; Streptophyta; Magnoliopsida; Poales; Poaceae. The record is from RNAcentral.